ACUUCAAAAUAUCUUCCUUCGUAUUCAACAGAACAAAGAAAUGUAUUCAGGUUUGGAACAACUUGAGGGCAAGUGAAUGAUGACAUAAUUUUCAUUUUUGGGUCAACUAUCCCUUUAAUAAUAAUAUAAUAAUGAUAAAUAAUACACACACGAUUAUGUAUUAGCACCUUUGGCAAUAGAAAUGAUUGUAAAUGAGCAUAAGCCCUGUACGGUCCGCUAUGCUGGUUUGUUUACAUCUAGCUACCACAAUUCCUUGCGCUCAGGCAGUUUGGCGUGACUUGCCUGGAACGCUACAAAGUCGUGAGUCGUGGUUUGAAGUCGUGACUUACAGGCUCAAAAACCUGCCUGGAACACAGCAUUAUAUAUGGAUGCUGUGAUAGGCGUCGUAUCCUAUAGGUAGACGUGAGUCACCUGGGAGUCAGUUGAUGCAAACUUGACUGACGUGACCUGCCAGAACUGACGCUACGCUUGAUUUAUCUUUAAUGUGACCACACCCACACGUUGCGCAGCAUUCCAAGUGUGAGGUACGCAAACCUGUAAAUGCCCCCAUCACCUUGAUAAACAAACAUCAAGCUUCAUCAUUCCUCUGCUUUUCUUUGAGUUUGGUAGACGCAUUGUGAGGAAUAAACCUUGAAUUUACCUCAGAAGAAGAAGAAUGCAAUUGAUCCAGCUGCGGGACCAGAUGCCAUUGAGUCUUGUUGACUUAAACAUUUACUCUUCAAAGUGUUUUUCUCUGAGAGUGCUGUACCAACAUAAGCAAGCUUGUACAUGAACAUGGUAAAAUGAAAAAGCAUGGAUAUGACAGGUGUGUUGAACAAGAACUGUUUCAGAAAUAGCACAGCGGUGUGUGACUCUUUAAGUCCCUGUUUAGAUCAGUGUGCUUAAAAAUGUCCUUUUUUUGUCCUUCGUUGUGUAUAUUUGGAUUGUGUUUUGUAAAUAAAAUUCAAUCAAAAAGC
This is a long non-coding RNA of Ctenopharyngodon idella (grass carp), 956 nucleotides long. RefSeq lists it as uncharacterized. Lineage: Eukaryota; Metazoa; Chordata; Actinopteri; Cypriniformes; Xenocyprididae. The transcript has 2 exons. The record is from RefSeq and is a predicted model, not a curated record.